RNAcentral lists this ribosomal RNA (1350 nucleotides) under uncultured bacterium. RNAcentral describes it as "partial 16S ribosomal RNA". It matches the Rfam family "Bacterial small subunit ribosomal RNA", at positions 25 to 1364 of the family's 1533-position model. The record is from RNAcentral.
CAGGAUGAACGCUAGCGGCAGGCUUAACACAUGCAAGUCGAGGGGCAGCGGGGAGGAAGCUUGCUUUCUCCGCCGGCGACCGGCGCACGGGUGAGUAACACGUAUGCAACCUGCCCCUGUCAGGGGGACAACCCGCCGAAAGGCGGGCUAAACCCGCGUACAUGCCACCGGGGCAUCCCGGAGGCAGGAAAGGCUUCGGCCGGACAGGGAUGGGCAUGCGGCGCAUUAGGCAGUAGGCGGGGUAACGGCCCACCUAACCGACGAUGCGUAGGGGUUCUGAGAGGAAGGUCCCCCACACUGGUACUGAGACACGGACCAGACUCCUACGGGAGGCAGCAGUGAGGAAUAUUGGUCAAUGGUCGGGAGACUGAACCAGCCAAGCCGCGUGAGGGAGGAAGGUACAGAGUAUCGUAAACCUCUUUUGUCAGGGAACAAAGGCGGGGACGUGUCCCCGGAUGAGUGUACCUGAAGAAAAAGCAUCGGCUAACUCCGUGCCAGCAGCCGCGGUAAUACGGAGGAUGCGAGCGUUAUCCGGAUUUAUUGGGUUUAAAGGGUGCGCAGGCGGUCUGUUAAGUCAGCGGUCAAAGCCCGGGGCUCAACCCCGGCCCGCCGUUGAAACUGGCAGUCUCGAGUUGGAGAGAAGUAUGCGGAAUGCGCGGUGUAGCGGUGAAAUGCAUAGAUAUCGCGCAGAACUCCGAUUGCGAAGGCAGCAUGCCGGCUCCACACUGACGCUGAGGCACGAAAGCGUGGGUAUCGAACAGGAUUAGAUACCCUGGUAGUCCACGCAGUAAACGAUGAAUGCUGGCUGUCCGGGGGGAUUGACCCCUGGGUGGCGAAGCGAAAGCGAUAAGCAUUCCACCUGGGGAGUACGCCGGCAACGGUGAAACUCAAAGGAAUUGACGGGGGCCCGCACAAGCGGAGGAACAUGUGGUUUAAUUCGAUGAUACGCGAGGAACCUUACCCGGGCUCAAACGGGGAGUGACUCAGGCAGAGACGCCUGUUUCCCACGGGACACUCCCCGAGGUGCUGCAUGGUUGUCGUCAGCUCGUGCCGUGAGGUGUCGGCUUAAGUGCCAUAACGAGCGCAACCCCCGCGUGCAGUUGCUAACAGAUAACGCUGAGGACUCUGCACGGACUGCCGGCGCAAGCCGCGAGGAAGGCGGGGAUGACGUCAAAUCAGCACGGCCCUUACGUCCGGGGCGACACACGUGUUACAAUGGGUGGUACAGCGGGAAGCCAGGCGGCGACGCCGAGCGGAACCCGAAAUCCACUCUCAGUUCGGAUCGGAGUCUGCAACCCGACUCCGUGAAGCUGGAUUCGCUAGUAAUCGCGCAUCAGCCAUGGCGCGGUG